AGGGAGAGGCCGCACAUAUGGGAAACGUCGAAGAGGGAGCCGUUGGCGCGGCAAUUGAGGGUGGAGUCAAUGAUGGAGUCCUUGUACUGGAUCGGCAUGCUCCAGCCUGCGAAGGGGACCAUCUUGGCGCCGUGUUCGACGUGGAAGUCGUGGAGGGCGGUUUUCUUGAGCUCGCCGGCGGCGGUAGCGAGGCGGCGGUGGGAGAGGCGGCGGGAAAGAGAGUGGCGGAGCUGCCAUAGAGAGGAGCCUCGCAUG
This 255-nucleotide unclassified non-coding RNA is filed under the name Hevea brasiliensis (rubber tree). Lineage: Eukaryota; Viridiplantae; Streptophyta; Magnoliopsida; Malpighiales; Euphorbiaceae. The record is from RNAcentral.